This 660-nucleotide ribosomal RNA is filed under the name Acinetobacter calcoaceticus. RNAcentral's name for it is "bacterial SSU rRNA". It matches the Rfam family "Bacterial small subunit ribosomal RNA", at positions 57 to 712 of the family's 1533-position model. Lineage: Bacteria; Pseudomonadati; Pseudomonadota; Gammaproteobacteria; Moraxellales; Moraxellaceae. The record is from RNAcentral.
GCAGUCGAGCGGAGUGAUGGUGCUCGCACUAUCACUUAGCGGCGGACGGGAGAGGUAACUUAGGAAUCUGCCUAUUAGUGGGGGACAACAACCUGAAAGGAAUGCUAAUACCGCAUACGUCCUACGGGAGAAAGCAGGGGAUCUUCGGACCUUCGCGCUAAUAGAUGAGCCUAAGUCGGAUUAGCUAGUUGGUGGGGUAAAGGCCUACCAAGGCGACGAUCUGUAGCGGGUCUGAGAGGAUGAUCCGCCACACUGGGACUGAGACACGGCCCAGACUCCUACGGGAGGCAGCAGUGGGGAAUAUUGGACAAUGGGCGCAAGCCUGAUCCAGCCAUGCCGCGUGUGUGAAGAAGGCCUUAUGGUUGUAAAGCACUUUAAGCGAGGAGGAGGCUACUGAAGUUAAUACCUUCAGAUAGUGGACGUUACUCGCAGAAUAAGCACCGGCUAACUCUGUGCCAGCAGCCGCGGUAAUACAGAGGGUGCAAGCGUUAAUCGGAUUUACUGGGCGUAAAGCGCGCGUAGGCGGCUAAUUAAGUCAAAUGUGAAAUCCCCGAGCUUAACUUGGGAAUUGCAUUCGAUACUGGUUAGCUAGAGUGUGGGAGAGGAUGGUAGAAUUCCAGGUGUAGCGGUGAAAUGCGUAGAGAUCUGGAGGAAUACCGA